GAUGAACGCUGGCGGCGUGCCUAAUACAUGCAAGUCGAGCGAACAGACGAGGAGCUUGCUCCUCUGACGUUAGCGGCGGACGGGUGAGUAACACGUGGAUAAACUACCUAUAAGACUGGGAUAACUUCGGGAAACCGGAGCUAAUACCGGAUAACAUGUUGAACCGCAUGGUUCAACAGUGAAAGACGGUCUUGCUGUCACUUAUAGAUGGAUCCGCGCCGCAUUAGCUAGUUGGUAAGGUAACGGCUUACCAAGGCAACGAUGCAUAGCCGACCUGAGAGGGUGAUUCGCCACAUUGGAAACGAGAUCCGGUUCCGACUCCAACGGGAGGCAGGAGUAAGGAAGCUUCCGGAAUGGGCGAAAGGCUGGAGGGGCAACGCCGGGUGAGUGAAGAAGUUCUUCGGAUCGGAAAACUCUGUUAUUAGGGAAGAAAAAAUGUUUAAGUAACUAUGCACGUCUUGACGGUACCUAAUCAGAAAGCCACGGCUAACUACGUG
Molecule: ribosomal RNA, 497 nt
Filed under: uncultured bacterium
Lineage: Bacteria
Description: partial 16S ribosomal RNA
Rfam family: Bacterial small subunit ribosomal RNA
Source: RNAcentral